This 497-nucleotide ribosomal RNA is filed under the name uncultured bacterium. Its description in RNAcentral is "partial 16S ribosomal RNA". It matches the Rfam family "Bacterial small subunit ribosomal RNA", at positions 28 to 507 of the family's 1533-position model. The record is from RNAcentral.
GAUGAACGCUGGCGGCGUGCCUAAUACAUGCAAGUCGAGCGAACAGACGAGGAGCUUGCUCCUCUGACGUUAGCGGCGGACGGGUGAGUAACACGUGGAUAACCUACCUAUAAGACUGGGAUAACUUCGGGAAACCGGAGCUAAUACCGGAUAAUAUAUUGAACCGCAUGGUUCAAUAGUGAAAGACGGUUUUGCUGUCACUUAUAGAUGGAUCCCGGCCGCAUUAGCUAGUUGGUAAGGUAACGGCUUACCAAGGCGACCAUGCGUAGCCGACCUGAUGGAGGGAUCGGCCGCAUGAGAGCUGAGACACGGACCAGACUCCUACGGGAGGCAGCAGUAGGGAAUCUUCCGCAAUGGGCGAAAGCUUGACGGAGCAACGCCGCGUGAGUGAUGAAGGUCUUCGGAUCGUAAAACUCUGUUAUUAGGGAAGAACAAAUGUGUAAGUAACUAUGCACGUCUUGACGGUACCUAAUCAGAAAGCAACGGCUAACUACGUG